AGCUCCAAUAGCGUAUAUUAAAGUUGUUGCAGUUAAAAAGCUCGUAGUUGGAUUUGUGGUGUACUUCGGCGGCCCGUCACAAUGUGAUGGAGCUUGCUGAAGUCGCCAUCCUUGGGUGGAUCCUAUGUGGCAUUAAGUUGUCGUGUAGGGGAUGCCCAUCGUUUACUGUGAAAAAAUUAGAGUGUUCAAAGCAGGCUUAUGCCGUUGAAUAUGUUAGCAUGGAAUAAUAAGAUAGGACCUUGGUACUAUUUUGUUGGUUUGCGCACCAAGGUAAUGAUUAAUAGGGACAGUUGGGGGUAUUCGUAUUUCAUUGUCAGAGGUGAAAUUCUUGGAUUUUUGAAAGACGAACUACUGCGAAAGCAUUUACCAAGGAUGUUUUCAUUAAUCAAGAACGAAAGUA
Molecule: ribosomal RNA, 400 nt
Filed under: phytoplankton environmental sample
Lineage: Eukaryota
Description: partial small subunit ribosomal RNA
Rfam family: Eukaryotic small subunit ribosomal RNA
Source: RNAcentral